This 1489-nucleotide ribosomal RNA is filed under the name Lactiplantibacillus pentosus. RNAcentral describes it as "bacterial SSU rRNA". It matches the Rfam family "Bacterial small subunit ribosomal RNA". Lineage: Bacteria; Bacillati; Bacillota; Bacilli; Lactobacillales; Lactobacillaceae. The record is from RNAcentral.
GACGAACGCUGGCGGCGUGCCUAAUACAUGCAAGUCGAACGAACUCUGGUAUUGAUUGGUGCUUGCAUCAUGAUUUACAUUUGAGUGAGUGGCGAACUGGUGAGUAACACGUGGGAAACCUGCCCAGAAGCGGGGGAUAACACCUGGAAACAGAUGCUAAUACCGCAUAACAACUUGGACCGCAUGGUCCGAGUUUGAAAGAUGGCUUCGGCUAUCACUUUUGGAUGGUCCCGCGGCGUAUUAGCUAGAUGGUGAGGUAACGGCUCACCAUGGCAAUGAUACGUAGCCGACCUGAGAGGGUAAUCGGCCACAUUGGGACUGAGACACGGCCCAAACUCCUACGGGAGGCAGCAGUAGGGAAUCUUCCACAAUGGACGAAAGUCUGAUGGAGCAACGCCGCGUGAGUGAAGAAGGGUUUCGGCUCGCAAAACUCUGUUGUUAAAGAAGAACAUAUCUGAGAGUAACUGUUCAGGUAUUGACGGUAUUUAACCAGAAAGCCACGGCUAACUACGUGCCAGCAGCCGCGGUAAUACGUAGGUGGCAAGCGUUGUCCGGAUUUAUUGGGCGUAAAGCGAGCGCAGGCGGUUUUUUAAGUCUGAUGUGAAAGCCUUCGGCUCAACCGAAGAAGUGCAUCGGAAACUGGGAAACUUGAGUGCAGAAGAGGACAGUGGAACUCCAUGUGUAGCGGUGAAAUGCGUAGAUAUAUGGAAGAACACCAGUGGCGAAGGCGGCUGUCUGGUCUGUAACUGACGCUGAGGCUCGAAAGUAUGGGUAGCAAACAGGAUUAGAUACCCUGGUAGUCCAUACCGUAAACGAUGAAUGCUAAGUGUUGGAGGGUUUCCGCCCUUCAGUGCUGCAGCUAACGCAUUAAGCAUUCCGCCUGGGGAGUACGGCCGCAAGGCUGAAACUCAAAGGAAUUGACGGGGGCCCGCACAAGCGGUGGAGCAUGUGGUUUAAUUCGAAGCUACGCGAAGAACCUUACCAGGUCUUGACAUACUAUGCAAAUCUAAGAGAUUAGACGUUCCCUUCGGGGACAUGGAUACAGGUGGUGCAUGGUUGUCGUCAGCUCGUGUCGUGAGAUGUUGGGUUAAGUCCCGCAACGAGCGCAACCCUUAUUAUCAGUUGCCAGCAUUAAGUUGGGCACUCUGGUGAGACUGCCGGUGACAAACCGGAGGAAGGUGGGGAUGACGUCAAAUCAUCAUGCCCCUUAUGACCUGGGCUACACACGUGCUACAAUGGAUGGUACAACGAGUUGCGAACUCGCGAGAGUAAGCUAAUCUCUUAAAGCCAUUCUCAGUUCGGAUUGUAGGCUGCAACUCGCCUACAUGAAGUCGGAAUCGCUAGUAAUCGCGGAUCAGCAUGCCGCGGUGAAUACGUUCCCGGGCCUUGUACACACCGCCCGUCACACCAUGAGAGUUUGUAACACCCAAAGUCGGUGGGGUAACCUUUUAGGAACCAGCCGCCUAAGGUGGGACAGAUGAUUAGGGUG